RNAcentral lists this ribosomal RNA (451 nucleotides) under uncultured bacterium. Its description in RNAcentral is "SSU rRNA". It matches the Rfam family "Bacterial small subunit ribosomal RNA", at positions 26 to 518 of the family's 1533-position model. The record is from RNAcentral.
AGGAUGAACGCUGGCGGCGUGCCUAAAACAUGCAAGUCAUACGGGCUACCUUCGGGUAGCCAGUGGCAAACGGGUGAGUAACACGUGGGAACGCGCCUUGGGGUGGGGAAUAACGCUGAGAAAUCAGUGCUAAUACCGCAUAUGGUCUAACGACUAAAGCAGCAAUGCGCCCCGAGAGCGGCCCGCGACCGAUUAGCUAGUUGGUGGGGUAAUGGCCUACCAAGGCGGUGAUCGGUAGCUGGUCUGAGAGGAUGGUCAGCCACACUGGGAAUGCGAACGGCCCAGACUCCUACGGGAGGCAGCAGUUAGGAAUUUUCGGCAAUGGACGAAAGUCUGACCGAGCGACGCCGCGUGGAGGAUGACGCCUUUCGGGGUGUAAACUCCUUUUCUGCGGGAAGAUAAUGACGGUACCGCAGGAAUAAGCACCGGCUAACUACGUGCCAGCAGCCGC